This 536-nucleotide ribosomal RNA is filed under the name Girella nigricans (opaleye). Its description in RNAcentral is "partial 16S ribosomal RNA". It matches the Rfam family "Bacterial large subunit ribosomal RNA", at positions 1922 to 2612 of the family's 2925-position model. The record is from RNAcentral. Lineage: Eukaryota; Metazoa; Chordata; Actinopteri; Centrarchiformes; Girellidae.
GUUUAACGGCCGCGGUAUUUUGACCGUGCGAAGGUAGCGCAAUCACUUGUCUUUUAAAUGGAGACCUGUAUGAAUGGCAUAACGAGGGCUUAGCUGUCUCCUCUUCCAAGUUAAUGAAAUUGAUCUCCCCGUGCAGAAGCGGGGAUAAAACCAUAAGACGAGAAGACCCUAUGGAGCUUUAGACACCUAGCCGCAAGUUUUGUCCAAAAACCCUGAAUAAAAGACCAAACAACUAAACCUGCCCUAAUGUCUUUGGUUGGGGCGACCAUGAGGAAACAAAAAACCCUCACGUGGAUAGGGAGACAAUCCCCAGAACUAAGAGCCCCCGCUCUAAUUAACAGAAUUUCUGACCAUCCAGAUCCGGCAAUGCCGAUUAACGAACCGAGUUACCCUAGGGAUAACAGCGCAAUCCCCUUCUAGAGCCCAUAUCGACAAGGGGGUUUACGACCUCGAUGUUGGAUCAGGACAUCCUAAUGGUGCAGCCGCUAUUAAGGGUUCGUUUGUUCAACGAUUAAAGUCCUACGUGAUCUGAGUUC